This 253-nucleotide ribosomal RNA is filed under the name uncultured bacterium. RNAcentral's name for it is "partial 16S ribosomal RNA". It matches the Rfam family "Bacterial small subunit ribosomal RNA", at positions 524 to 776 of the family's 1533-position model. The record is from RNAcentral.
UACGGAGGAUGCAAGCGUUAUCCGGAAUGAUUGGGCGUAAAGCGUCCGCAGGUGGCAAUGUAAGUCUGCUGUUAAAGAGUCUAGCUCAACUAGAUAAAAGCAGUGGAAACUACAUAGCUAGAGUACGUUCGGGGCAGAGGGAAUUCCUGGUGUAGCGGUGAAAUGCGUAGAGAUCAGGAAGAACACCGGUGGCGAAGGCGCUCUGCUAGGCCGUAACUGACACUGAGGGACGAAAGCUAGGGGAGCGAAAGGG